CGAGCGGUAGGCCCUUCGGGGUACACGAGCGGCGAACGGGUGAGUAACACGUGGGUGAUCUGCCUCGUACUUCGGGAUAAGCCUGGGAAACUGGGUCUAAUACCGGAUAUGACUACUGGUUGCAUGACUGGUGGUGGAAAGAUUUAUCGGUGCGAGAUGGGCCCGCGGCCUAUCAGCUUGUUGGUGGGGUAAUGGCCUACCAAGGCGACGACGGGUAGCCGACCUGAGAGGGUGACCGGCCACACUGGGACUGAGACACGGCCCAGACUCCUACGGGAGGCAGCAGUGGGGAAUAUUGCACAAUGGGCGGAAGCCUGAUGCAGCGACGCCGCGUGAGGGAUGACGGCCUUCGGGUUGUAAACCUCUUUCGACAGGGACGAAGCGUGAGUGACGGUACCUGUAGAAGAAGCACCGGCCAACUACGUGCCAGCAGCCGCGGUAAUACGUAGGGUGCGAGCGUUGUCCGGAAUUACUGGGCGUAAAGAGCUUGUAGGCGGUUCGUCGCGUCGAUCGUGAAAACCUACCGCUCAACGGUGGGCUUGCGGUCGAUACGGGCGGACUAGAGUACUUCAGGGGAGACUGGAAUUCCUGGUGUAGCGGUGAAAUGCGCAGAUAUCAGGAGGAACACCGGUGGCGAAGGCGGGUCUCUGGGAAGUAACUGACGCUGAGAAGCGAAAGCGUGGGUAGCGAACAGGAUUAGAUACCCUGGUAGUCCACGCCGUAAACGGUGGGUACUAGGUGUGGGUUUCCUUCCACGGGAUCCGUGCCGUAGCUAACGCAUUAAGUACCCCGCCUGGGGAGUACGGCCGCAAGGCUAAAACUCAAAGGAAUUGACGGGGGCCCGCACAAGCGGCGGAGCAUGUGGAUUAAUUCGAUGCAACGCGAAGAACCUUACCUGGGUUUGACAUACACCAGAAAGCUAUAGAGAUAUA
RNAcentral lists this ribosomal RNA (932 nucleotides) under Nocardia sp. MG 29. RNAcentral describes it as "bacterial SSU rRNA". It matches the Rfam family "Bacterial small subunit ribosomal RNA", at positions 63 to 1010 of the family's 1533-position model. Lineage: Bacteria; Bacillati; Actinomycetota; Actinomycetes; Mycobacteriales; Nocardiaceae. The record is from RNAcentral.